RNAcentral lists this ribosomal RNA (497 nucleotides) under uncultured bacterium. Its description in RNAcentral is "partial 16S ribosomal RNA". It matches the Rfam family "Bacterial small subunit ribosomal RNA", at positions 28 to 507 of the family's 1533-position model. The record is from RNAcentral.
GAUGAACGCUGGCGGCGUGCCUAAUACAUGCAAGUCGAGCGAACGGACGAGAAGCUUGCUUCUCUGAUGUUAGCGGCGGACGGGUGAGUAACACGUGGAUAACCUACCUAUAAGACUGGGAUAACUUCGGGAAACCGGAGCUAAUACCGGAUGAUAUUUUGAACCGCAUGGUUCAAAAGUGAAAGACGGUCUUGCUGUCACUUAUAGAUGGAUCCGCGCUGCAUUAGCUAGUUGGUAAGGUAACGGCUUACCAAGGCAACGAUGCAUAGCCGACCUGAGAGGGUGAUCGGCCACACUGGAACUGAGACACGGUCCAGACUCCCACGGGAGGCAGCAGUAGGGAAUCUUCCGCAAUGGGCGAAAGCCUGACGGAGCAACGCCGCGUGAGUGAUGAAGGUCUUCGGAUCGUAAAACUCUGUUAUUAGGGAAGAACAUAUGUGUAAGUAACUGUGCACAUCUUGACGGUACCUAAUCAGAAAGCCACGGCUAACUACGUG